RNAcentral lists this long non-coding RNA (1507 nucleotides) under Ananas comosus (pineapple). Its description in RNAcentral is "long non-coding RNA (ACOM_LNC018137)". The record is from RNAcentral. Lineage: Eukaryota; Viridiplantae; Streptophyta; Magnoliopsida; Poales; Bromeliaceae.
UAAUUUCAUUAAUACCCCUCUAAAAGACAAUAAUUUUAUGAAUAUUACUUUAAACUUGAAAAUAUCAUCAAUACCUCUCUAAAAAUAAAAAAUAUUCACAGAUACACUUAGAGCAUGUUUGGUUCGCACUAUGAAAGAUUAUUAGAAAUAAAAAGAUACUUAAAAAUCUUAUUCCUACUCAUCCUAUUAUUAAAAUUGUGAUAUUCCAGUAUUUGGUUCGUACGACCAUAUUAUUUAAGAUUAUAAAAAAUAUAUAAUUAAUGUAUUUGUUUCGUUAAUUAAUUUUGUAUGAUACUAUCAAAAAUUUUAACAUCUUUUAAAAAAAGGGAGAGAGAUACAGGUUAAAGAGAGAGAGAGCAUAAUUAAAAAAAAAUAGAAAGAGAGAUAGAGUCGUAGUAAGAGGGAGCGAGAGAGUUGACAUUUUAAAAAGAGAGGGAGAGGGAGGGUUCAGUUUAGAAAGGAAAAAAGAGUUGAAAUUUAGAGAAAGAAAGAUAAGUUUAGAAAGAGAUAUAAGAUUAGAGUGUGAAGAAGAACAAUACAAACUAGCUGGCAGCUAGGGAGAAAAAAAAAUAUUAGACAUAUUGUACUUUCCCUAAUCCAUUAAUAUAAGAAUAACUAUCCUCUUUCAAAAAAAUAAGAUUAAUAUUUUGGAAUAAAUCUCAUUUCUAUGUAAAUCUAAUAUUAUCAACUAAAUUACUUAGUGAGUUUAACCAAACGCUCUUAUAUUUUCUUAUUCCUAUUGAAUUACUGGAAAUUUUAAAGAGAUAGCGCAAAAUAAAUGCACCUGUAAGGUUAACAUUUUGUCAAAUAAUCAUCCAAUAUUCUUUAAAUACUAUUUUUAUUCCUAGCACUAAUUUAACUAAGUAUAAUAAUUUAAGAUUAAUUAAAUAAUCAAUGUUUAAUAUUUGAAUCACAUAAUAAUUUAACAUUUUUUAAAAAAAAUCGUACAAUUAAAGAUCUAUAGUCGAUUAAGUAUAAUAAUUAAAUCUCAUUAUGCUUUUUGGCAUUUAAAUUUUACAUAGUUGUAAUGCGUAUCUUCUAUACCUAUAUAUUAUUUGUCAUAGAGUUUGCCACAUGGCAAUUUCUUCUUCAAUCCACUUCUCACUCCCUAAUGCUUCGCCUUCCCACCCAAUCUCUGUCUAAUGCUUUGUCUUCCUACUCACCCACUUUCUAAUUAAUAAAUUCACAUGAUCCAUUUUCAUUUAAACAAAUUGCUUUAAGAAAAAGUAAAAUAAGAUUUUUUCGUACUCUUUUUUAUCAUAUUUUUUUCUUUUUGCUUGUUUUUGUGCACAAGAAGGGUUCAAUUUUUUGUUUUUUUCUUGAUCUCUUUUGCUAUUUUUUUUAAAAUUGUGUGAGGAAUGAAAUUAGGAUUCAAAGGAUCGCGGUGGCGCGGCGUGUGUGAGGAUUGAAAUUAGGAUUCCGAGGAUCGCGGUAGCGCGGCGAGGUGGAGUGCGAUGGAUUUGGAGUCAAUGAGGGGAAAGAAGCGGUGGGUGUGGGGGGAUCCAUA